Molecule: small nuclear RNA, 93 nt
Filed under: Cervus hanglu yarkandensis (Yarkand deer)
Lineage: Eukaryota; Metazoa; Chordata; Mammalia; Artiodactyla; Cervidae
Source: RNAcentral
CCUGUAUAAGAAAAUUUCAUUUAAAAAUUAUAUUGCCUAGCAUGGCCCCGGCGCAAGGAUGACACACAAAUUUGUGAAACGUUCCAUAUUUUU